UGCCCGGUCACAUGUUAAAUUUUAAAAUGAAAAACAAAAGGACAAGAACUCAUCUCCCCACAGGGUGUCUUAUAAGUUUGAAGUUUGCAGAGAGCCCAGGAAAGCUUACCAAGGGGACCAGCAUGCUCACGCCUCUGAGGUUAAGGAGGCCCCUCAGGAAGAGGUGACAUGCGACUGGCCAGUGAAAGUUCUCAGCACAUCCAGCUUCCAGAGGCCCACUGGAAGAUCAUAGGCCUGAGAUUCUUGCAGUCCAGGCAUCCACCAUCCAUGAUGGGCCCUUGACCUCGCCCACUCCACACCGACCCUAGGACUUGGAAGACACAAGGAACUCAUGUGAACACCAUGCUUAAACUGCAGCUAUUAUUUUACUGCAACUAAUAAAGUCCCUGUCUCUGACCCAGGAGUCUCAGAACUGGAGAUUGGCAGUGCCUCUAUUUGAAUGGAGGUCAUCUGACUCCCUUUGUAUCUUGGGUUCUGUUUUUCAA
This 485-nucleotide long non-coding RNA is filed under the name Homo sapiens (human). RNAcentral describes it as "HSALNT0406399". Lineage: Eukaryota; Metazoa; Chordata; Mammalia; Primates; Hominidae. The record is from RNAcentral.